Molecule: unclassified non-coding RNA, 21 nt
Filed under: Dictyostelium discoideum
Lineage: Eukaryota; Evosea; Eumycetozoa; Dictyosteliales; Dictyosteliaceae
Source: RNAcentral
GACUAAGCGAUGCUUGAGCGU